This 403-nucleotide ribosomal RNA is filed under the name uncultured bacterium. RNAcentral describes it as "bacterial SSU rRNA". It matches the Rfam family "Bacterial small subunit ribosomal RNA", at positions 29 to 416 of the family's 1533-position model. The record is from RNAcentral.
AGCGAACGUUAGCGGCGCGCCUAACACAUGCAAGUCGCACGAGAAAGGGAGCAAUCCCCGGUACAGUGGCGCACGGGUGAGUAACACGUAGAUGACCUUCCCUGGAGUGGUGGAUAACCUGCCGAAAGGCGGGCUAAUACAGCAUGGGACCACAUGGUUUUGACCGAGUGGUGAAAGCGGGCCUCUGUUCACAAGCUCGCGCUCUGGGAUGGGUCUGCGUCCCAUCAGCUAGUUGGUGAGGUAAUGGCUCACCAAGGCAUCGACGGGUAGCUGGUCUGAGAGGAUGACCCAGCCCACACUGGAACUGAGACACGGUUCCAGACUCCUACGGGAGGCAGCAGUGGGGAAUCUUGCGCAAUGGGCGAAAGCCUGACGCAGCGACGCCGCGUGGGUGAUGAAGGCC